CCUACGGGAGGCAGCAGUUAGGAAUAUUGGGCAAUGGAGGAAACUCUGACCCAGCAACGCCGCGUGAAGGAAGAAGGUUUUCGGAUUGUAAACUUCUGUUCUGUGGAAAGAAAACAAUGACGGUACCACAGGAGAAAGCCACGGCUAACUACGUGCCAGCAGCCGCGGUAAUACGUAGGUGGCGAGCGUUGUCCGGAAUAACUGGGCGUAAAGGGAGCGUAGGUGGUCUAUUAAGUUAAAUGUGAAAGCCCAGGGCUCAACCCUGGAAUUGCAUUUAAUACUGGUAGACUAGAGUGCAGGAGGGGUAAAUGGAAUUUCUAGUGUAGCGGUGAAAUGCGUAGAUAUUAGGAAGAACACCAGAGGCGAAGGCGGUUUACUGGACUGCAACUGACACUGAGGCUCGAAAGCGUGGGGAGCAAACAGGAUUAGAUA
This 432-nucleotide ribosomal RNA is filed under the name uncultured bacterium. Its description in RNAcentral is "bacterial SSU rRNA". It matches the Rfam family "Bacterial small subunit ribosomal RNA", at positions 338 to 784 of the family's 1533-position model. The record is from RNAcentral.